This 292-nucleotide ribosomal RNA is filed under the name uncultured bacterium. RNAcentral describes it as "partial 16S ribosomal RNA". The record is from RNAcentral. RNAcentral also lists the same sequence under 2 other names.
GGACUACACGGGUAUCUAAUCCCGUUCGCUCCCCUGGCUUUCGCGCCUCAGCGUCAGAAGAGGGCCAGCACUUCGCUUUCGCCACCGGCGUUCCUUCCGAUAUCAACGCAUUUCACCGCUCCACCGGAAGUUCCAAGUGCCCCUACCUCCCUCAAGGCUGCCAGUAUCCAAGGCAAUUCUCCGGUUAAGCCGAAGUAUUUCACCCCGGACUUGGCAGUCCGCCUACGCGCCCUUUAAGCCCAGUGAUUCCGAACAACGUUCGCACGGUUCGUCUUACCGCGGCGGCUGGCAC